Molecule: long non-coding RNA, 280 nt
Organism: Rhagoletis pomonella (apple maggot)
Lineage: Eukaryota; Metazoa; Arthropoda; Insecta; Diptera; Tephritidae
Exons: 3
Source: RefSeq, a predicted model, not a curated record
GGCCAAUUUACCAGUGACCGCCGUGUUUGUGUCUUAACACAAGGUGUAAUUGCUUAUUUGUGGUUUUUUACAUUCAAGUGUGUUCCAGCGUACCCAGUGAGGCAGUGGCAUAGUUUGGCCAAUUUACCAGUGACCGCCGUGUUUGUGCGUUAACACAAGGUGUAUUGCUUAUUUGUGGGUUUUCACAUUCAAGUGUGUUCCAGUAUUCCCAGUGAGGCAGUAGCAUAAAGUUUGAGGAGAGUCUCAUCUCCGAAGUCGAAAAGCAUAAUUGCCUUUGAGA